RNAcentral lists this ribosomal RNA (484 nucleotides) under uncultured bacterium. RNAcentral describes it as "bacterial SSU rRNA". It matches the Rfam family "Bacterial small subunit ribosomal RNA", at positions 30 to 507 of the family's 1533-position model. The record is from RNAcentral.
AUUGAACGCUGGCGGCAUGCCUUACACAUGCAAGUCGAACGGCAGCACGGGAGCAAUCCUGGUGGCGAGUGGCGAACGGGUGAGUAAUAUAUCGGAACGUGCCCAGUCGUGGGGGAUAACGUAGCGAAAGCUACGCUAAUACCGCAUACGAUCUACGGAUGAAANCGGGGGAUCGCAAGACCUCGCGCGAUUGGAGCGGCCGAUAUCAGAUUAGGUAGUUGGUGAGGUAAAGGCUCACCAAGCCGACGAUCUGUAGCUGGUCUGAGAGGACGACCAGCCACACUGGGACUGAGACACGGCCCAGACUCCUACGGGAGGCAGCAGUGGGGAAUUUUGGACAAUGGGCGCAAGCCUGAUCCAGCAAUGCCGCGUGCAGGAUGAAGGCCUUCGGGUUGUAAACUGCUUUUGUACGGAACGAAACGGUGAGCUCUAAUACAGUUUGCUAAUGACGGUACCGUAAGAAUAAGCACCGGCUAACUACGUG